Molecule: ribosomal RNA, 255 nt
Filed under: uncultured bacterium
Lineage: Bacteria
Description: partial 16S ribosomal RNA
Rfam family: Bacterial small subunit ribosomal RNA
Source: RNAcentral
UACGUAGGGGGGCAAGCGUUUGUCCGGAAUUAUUGGGCGUAAAGAGCUCGUAGGCGGCUUGUCACGUCGGGUGUGAAAGCCCGGGGCUUAACCCCGGGUCUGCAUUCGAUACGGGCAGGCUAGAGUGUGGUAGGGGAGAUCGGAAUUCCUGGUGUAGCGGUGAAAUGCGCAGAUAUCAGGAGGAACACCGGUGGCGAAGGCGGAUCUCUGGGCCUGUACUGACGCUGAGGAGCGAAAGCGUGGGGAGCGAACAGG